Molecule: ribosomal RNA, 504 nt
Filed under: uncultured Pseudomonadota bacterium
Lineage: Bacteria; Pseudomonadati; Pseudomonadota
Description: bacterial SSU rRNA
Rfam family: Bacterial small subunit ribosomal RNA
Source: RNAcentral
UGUGUGAAGAAGGCCUUACGGGUUGUAAAGCACUUUCGGACGGAACGAAAUCGCGCGAUCUAAUAAGUCGCGUGGAUGACGGUACCGUAAGAAGAAGCACCGGCUAACUACGUGCCAGCAGCCGCGGUAAUACGUAGGGUGCGAGCGUUAAUCGGAAUUACUGGGCGUAAAGUGUGCGCAGGUGGCUGAGCAAGUCGAGUGUGAAAUCCCCGGGCUUAACUUGGGAAUUGCGCUCGAAACUACUUGGCUCGAGUGUGGCAGAGGAAGGUGGAAUUCCAGGUGUAGCGGUGAAAUGCGUAGAGAUCUGGAGGAACACCGAUGGCGAAGGCAGCCUUCUGGGCCAACACUGACGCUCAUGCACGAAAGCGUGGGGAGCAAACAGGAUUAGAUACCCUGGUAGUCCACGCCCUAAACGAUGAUGACUAGUUGUUGGGGGAGUUAAAUCCCUUAGUAACGCAGCUAACGCGUGAAGUCAUCCGCCUGGGGAGUACGGUCGCAAGAUUA